CGAUUUCUGGUUGAUCCUGCCGGCGGCCACCGCUAUAGGAAUUCGAUUAAGACAUGCGAGUCGAGAGUCGCAACAGACUCGGCGACUGCUCAGUAACACGUGGAGAACGUGCCCUUAAGCGGGGGAUAAUCUCGGGAAAUUGAGGAUAAUACCCCAUAGGUCAUGGGACCUGGAAUGGCCCAAGGCCGAAAGCUCCGGCGCUUAAGGAUCGCUCUGCGGCCUAUCAGGUAGUAGUGGGUGUAAGGUACCCCCUAGCCGACGACGGGUAUGGGCCUUGAGAGAGGGAGCCCAGAGUUGGAUUCUGAGACACGAAUCCAGGCCCUACGGGGCGCAGCAGUCGCGAAAACUUCACAAUGGGGGCAACCCCGAUGAGGGGAUUCCUAGUGCCAGGGCGUUUAGCUCUGGCUUUUCCCAGGCGCAGACGACCUGGGGAAUAAGGGCUGGGUAAGACGGGUGCCAGCCGCCGCGGUAAUACCUGCAGCCCGAGUGGUGGUCGAUUUUAUUGAGUCUAAAACGUUCGUAGCCGGCCCGGUAAAUCCCUGGGUAA
Molecule: ribosomal RNA, 547 nt
Filed under: uncultured archaeon
Lineage: Archaea
Description: bacterial SSU rRNA
Rfam family: Archaeal small subunit ribosomal RNA
Source: RNAcentral